Dermochelys coriacea (leatherback sea turtle) is the source of this 152-nucleotide long non-coding RNA. RefSeq lists it as uncharacterized. The transcript is spliced from 3 exons. The record is from RefSeq and is a predicted model, not a curated record. NCBI's taxonomy places the organism in Eukaryota, Metazoa, Chordata, Testudines, Dermochelyidae.
GGCUUUACAUAAGAACGGCUGUUCUGGGUCAGACCAAUGAUCCAUCUAGCCCAGUAUCCUGUCUUCUGACAGUGGCCAAAGCCAGAUGCUUCAGAGGGAAUGACCAGAACAGGGCAGUUUUGAGUGAUCCAUCCCCUGUCACCCCUUGCCAG